Molecule: long non-coding RNA, 908 nt
Filed under: Trifolium pratense (red clover)
Lineage: Eukaryota; Viridiplantae; Streptophyta; Magnoliopsida; Fabales; Fabaceae
Description: long non-coding RNA (TPRA_LNC006992)
Source: RNAcentral
ACUUAACAAUAAUUUUGUCAAUCGGUAGAGACAUUGCAUGAUCAUAUAUUUCCAACUAUAAUACUCCCACAAAUUUACGAAAUUUCAGCCAUUAAGCUUAAUAAUAAAAAAAUUAAAAACUUAACAAUAACAAAAAAGUAUUGGUGGGAUUUAUAAUUAUCGAUGGAUGGAUUAGAUAGCCUUAUACAAAAAAGAAAAUUUAACGGAAGUGUAAAAAAAUAAGGUAAACAUACAUUCAUAGUAACAAAAAUCAAAGCCAAAGGAAACGUAACAAAAACCACACGAUGAAGCUUACGAACUACUCAGGAACUAUGGUAAUAUACGUUCAUACGAAGAAAUUAAAGCAUAAUUACUUGAGUAAAUUCAAGGAAAUUCUAAAAUAUGUUGCAUUACCUGUGUUUAAAACACAAGAUGGACUAAAGAUGAUUGUUUCACUUUACAACCAAUAGUAAAAGUGAAAAAGACAAUGUCAUAUAUUUAAGGACCACCAUGGACUCCAAACAUUUCAAAUAAAAACUCAAAAAGCUCAAUACUGACAGUAUUGGCAUCAUAGGGAUGUCUCCUUUUCUGCUCUCCUUCAUUCAACCCCGUUUCUCCUUACCGUAUCUUUUCUGCCAAGUUAGCAGAAAGAUGGUCAUCACCCACCGACUUCCUUCAUAGCAAUGCAUAAUAAAUGUAAAAAAUAAAAUGAAAAUGAAAAAAGAAGACUCCAUAUUUCUGACAUGAAAUGCAGACAGCCAAAUGACCGAAACACCUGUGCCCAAAAAUGGUGAUGACCUGACUCAUGGUAUGCAGUUGAGACUCCCACGCAACAAAUGCAGAUGUAUGCAAGAACUAUGACCCAUGAAACAGCAGCGGUGGCCUCAAUAUGAAAUUGCUCGACUGAUUGUAACCUUGGCCCAGUCAGC